RNAcentral lists this ribosomal RNA (497 nucleotides) under uncultured bacterium. RNAcentral's name for it is "partial 16S ribosomal RNA". It matches the Rfam family "Bacterial small subunit ribosomal RNA", at positions 28 to 507 of the family's 1533-position model. The record is from RNAcentral.
GAUGAACGCUGGCGGCGUGCCUAAUACAUGCAAGUCGAGCGAACGGACGAGAAGCUUGCUUCUCUGAUGUUAGCGGCGGACGGGUGAGUAACACGUGGAUAACCUACCUAUAAGACUGGGAUAACUUCGGGAAACCGUAGCUAAUACCGGAUAAUAUUUUGAACCGCAUGGUUCAAAAGUGAAAGACGGUCUUGCUGUCACUUAUAGAUGGAUCCGCGCUGCAUUAGCUAGUUGGUAAGGUAACGGCUUACCAAGGCAACGAUGCAUAGCCGACCUGAGAGGGUGAUCGGCCACACUGGAACUGAGCCGCGGUCCAGACUCCUACGGGAGGCAGCAGUAGGGAAUCUUCCGCAAUGGGCGAAAGCCUGACGGAGCAACGCCGCGUGAGUGAUGAAGGUCUUCGGAUCGUAAAACUCUGUUAUUAGGGAAGAACAUAUGUGUAAGUAACUGUGCACAUCUUGACGGUACCUAAUCAGAAAGCCACGGCUAACUACGUG